This 718-nucleotide ribosomal RNA is filed under the name uncultured bacterium. Its description in RNAcentral is "bacterial SSU rRNA". It matches the Rfam family "Bacterial small subunit ribosomal RNA", at positions 129 to 848 of the family's 1533-position model. The record is from RNAcentral.
CCGUCUACUCUUGGACAGCCUUCUGAAAGGAAGAUUAAUACAAGAUGGCAUCAUGAGUUCACAUGUUCACAUGAUUAAAGGUAUUCCGGUAGACGAUGGGGAUGCGUUCCAUUAGAUAGUAGGCGGGGUAACGGCCCACCUAGUCUUCGAUGGAUAGGGGUUCUGAGAGGAAGGUCCCCCACAUUGGAACUGAGACACGGUCCAAACUCCUACGGGAGGCAGCAGUGAGGAAUAUUGGUCAAUGGGCGAGAGCCUGAACCAGCCAAGUAGCGUGAAGGAUGACUGCCCUAUGGGUUGUAAACUUCUUUUAUAAAGGAAUAAAGUCGGGUAUGGAUACCCGUUUGCAUGUACUUUAUGAAUAAGGAUCGGCUAACUCCGUGCCAGCAGCCGCGGUAAUACGGAGGAUCCGAGCGUUAUCCGGAUUUAUUGGGUUUAAAGGGAGCGUAGAUGGAUGUUUAAGUCAGUUGUGAAAGUUUGCGGCUCAACCGUAAAAUUGCAGUUGAUACUGGAUAUCUUGAGUGCAGUUGAGGCAGGCGGAAUUCGUGGUGUAGCGGUGAAAUGCUUAGAUAUCACGAAGAACUCCGAUUGCGAAGGCAGCCUGCUAAGCUGCAACUGACAUUGAGGCUCGAAAGUGUGGGUAUCAAACAGGAUUAGAUACCCUGGUAGUCCACACGGUAAACGAUGAAUACUCGCUGUUUGCGAUAUACUGCAAGCGGCC